AUACCAUGUUGAGGGCACUUUCAUAAUAAUUUCUUAAAUCGAUCCCAAGCCUCAAAAAGAAAUUCUUUGUCAAGUUGUUGAAUAUAGUGAUUUAAUUUCUUAGCUU
This is a non-coding RNA of Gossypium arboreum, 106 nucleotides long. The record is from Rfam. Lineage: Eukaryota; Viridiplantae; Streptophyta; Magnoliopsida; Malvales; Malvaceae.